ACUCUGAAACUGACAAAGUAUCUUGUUUUGUCUUUUUUUUUUUUUUUAGUUUAAGCCUCCAAGGCGAGGCUUGAUCGACACGUGUUUAGUCUGACGUGGAUACUGUAAGAUGCUUCCUCGGUGACUUCUCCAUGACUCGAAUUCGGCGCUUCUCCACGUUUCCAUCAUAUUUUCUUUUUUUGUUUCCCUAUUUGUUCUUUGAAUCCUCGAAAUAUUUUCUAAUCAUCAAUUAUAGCCUCUAUCUUUUGGAAUCUUAAUUUAUACCCAUUUGAUCAUUCGAUGAAAAGUUUCUUAUCGAAUGUUUUUGACAGAUUUUUAUGGUUCAGUAGUUUUACAAGGUUAUAAAUAUUUACUUUGCUAAACGUUUUACAUGUUUGAGAUCCUAACAUUAGUUCCAUAUUGUAAAUAUCAAACAUGUAUAAAUGUUCGAAUCGAAAACAUGUACAUUAGCUGUUAUUAUUUUGUCUCAAUAAAUUUUGAAUCUGGAAGAAUUGAUAACAUCCUAUAAAUGUGGUGACAAUAUGCAAAGAUUGAAAACAAAUUUCUCUCUGUUUAUAGAUUCUAUGGUAGCAUAUAAUAUAAAUAUAUAAUAUGAUACUAAUAGAAUAUUGAAUUUCUUCUUUUCUUUUCAAAAAUAGAAUAUUGAAUUUCAUCUUGAUAUUUUUUGAUAAGCUAUAGGAUGUUUACACACGUCCUCUUUGGUUAAAGAGAGCAGUUCUAAUCUCACCAAGCUUGGAACAGCUAUAAAGCACGACAAUCGAACUAUACUACGACACGUUGCAGUUUGAAGCUGUCAUGAAACAGACCUACCACUAGUACCGCCACGUGACGGUCAUACCCAAAGAAACGAAACUUGUAAGAAGAGAUCACCGGCACGAACCUAACACAUCGCAAAUUCGACCGGUCUCGCUAGACACGUUAUGCAUGUUUUUUGUUCGUUUAAUGAAUGACGACUCUUCACUUUCGUUUUUGUAUUAGUCAAUAAUUAUAAGAGUUGGCCAG
Arabidopsis thaliana (thale cress) is the source of this 1002-nucleotide non-coding RNA. NCBI's taxonomy places the organism in Eukaryota, Viridiplantae, Streptophyta, Magnoliopsida, Brassicales, Brassicaceae. The record is from RefSeq.